CAGCAGCCGCGGUAAUACGUAGGGUGCGAGCGUUAAUCGGAAUUACUGGGCGUAAAGCGUGCGCAGGCGGUUUUGUAAGACAGGCGUGAAAUCCCCGGGCUCAACCUGGGAAUGGCGCUUGUGACUGCAAAGCUAGAGUGCGGCAGAGGGGGAUGGAAUUCCGCGUGUAGCAGUGAAAUGCGUUGAGAUCGGAAAGAACACCAACGGCGAAAGCACUCUGCUGGGCCGACACUGACACUGAGAGACGAAAGCUAGGGGAGCAAAUGGGAUUAGAUACCCGUGUAGUCCCUGUCUCUUAUAA
Molecule: ribosomal RNA, 301 nt
Filed under: uncultured bacterium
Lineage: Bacteria
Description: partial 16S ribosomal RNA
Rfam family: Bacterial small subunit ribosomal RNA
Source: RNAcentral